CAGUAGCCGCGGUAAUACGAAGGGUGCAAGCGUUAAUCGGAAUUACUGGGCGUAAAGCGUGCGCAGGCGGUUUGUUAAGACAGAUGUGAAAUCCCCGGGCUCAACCUGGGAACUGCAUUUGUGACUGGCAAGCUAGAGUGUGGCAGAGGGGGGUGGAAUUCCGCGUGUAGCAGUGAAAUGCGCAGAUAUGCGGAGGAACACCGAUGGCGAAGGCAGCCCCCUGGGCCAACACUGACGCUCAUGCACGAAAGCGUGGGGAGCAAACAGGAUUAGAUACCCCAGUAGUCCCUGUCUCUUAUCC
RNAcentral lists this ribosomal RNA (301 nucleotides) under uncultured bacterium. RNAcentral describes it as "partial 16S ribosomal RNA". It matches the Rfam family "Bacterial small subunit ribosomal RNA", at positions 509 to 809 of the family's 1533-position model. The record is from RNAcentral.